GAAUCCCGUCUUUGACACGGACUACCAGUGCUUAUGUGAUGCGCUCUCAAAGAGUCGAGUUGUUUGGGAAUGCAGCUCAAAAUGGGUGGUAAAUUCCAUCUAAAGCUAAAUAUUGGCGAGAGACCGAUAGCGAACAAGUACCGUGAGGGAAAGAUGAAAAGCACUUUGGAAAGAGAGUGAAACAGUACGUGAAAUUGUUGAAAGGGAAACGCUUGAAGUCAGUCGCGUCGACCGAGACUCAGCCUUGCCUUGGCUUGGUGUACUUCUCGGCCUGACGGGUCAGCAUCAAUUUUGCCCUUUGGAUAAUGGCAGGGGAAAGGUGGCACCUUUACGGUGUGUUAUAGUCUCUCGUCGCAUGCAAGGGUUGGGAUUGAGGAACUCAGCACGCACCUUUGGGUGUCGGGGUUUUGCCCACGAUACGUGCUUAGGAUGUUGGCGUAAUGGCUUUAAACGACCCGUCUUGAAACACGGACCAAGGAGUCUAACAUGCCUGCGAGUGUUCGGGUGGAAAACUCGUGCGCGCAAUGAAAGUGAAAGUUGGGACCUCUGUCGUGGAGGGCACCGACGCCCGGACCAGACCUUCUGUGACGGCUCUGCGGUAAAGCAUGUAUGUUAGGACCCGAAAGAUGGUGAACUAUGCCUGAAUAGGGUGAAGCCAGAGGAAACUCUGGUGGAGGCUCGUAGCGAUUCUGACGUGCAAAUCGAUCGUCAAAUUUGGGUAUAGGGGCGAAAGACUAAUCGAACCAUCUAGUAGCUGGUUCCUGCC
Molecule: ribosomal RNA, 766 nt
Filed under: uncultured Russula
Lineage: Eukaryota; Fungi; Basidiomycota; Agaricomycetes; Russulales; Russulaceae
Description: partial 28S ribosomal RNA
Rfam family: Eukaryotic large subunit ribosomal RNA
Source: RNAcentral